RNAcentral lists this ribosomal RNA (253 nucleotides) under uncultured bacterium. RNAcentral describes it as "partial 16S ribosomal RNA". It matches the Rfam family "Bacterial small subunit ribosomal RNA", at positions 524 to 776 of the family's 1533-position model. The record is from RNAcentral. RNAcentral also lists the same sequence under 1 other name.
UACGGAGGGUGCGAGCGUUGUCCGGAAUCACUGGGCGUAAAGGGCGCGUAGGCGGCGCGGGUAGUCAACGGUGAAAGCUUGGGGCUCAACCCCGAGUCGGCCGUCGAUACUCCCGCGCUCGAGCACUGUAGAGGCAGGUGGAAUUCCGGGUGUAGCGGUGGAAUGCGUAGAGAUCCGGAAGAACACCGGUGGCGAAGGCGGCCUGCUGGGCAGUAGCUGACGCUGAGGCGCGACAGCGUGGGGAGCAAACAGG